Choloepus didactylus (southern two-toed sloth) is the source of this 691-nucleotide long non-coding RNA. RefSeq lists it as uncharacterized. The transcript has 5 exons. Lineage: Eukaryota; Metazoa; Chordata; Mammalia; Pilosa; Megalonychidae. The record is from RefSeq and is a predicted model, not a curated record.
UUCAGUGAAUCAAGACAGCCAGUUGUGUCCCCGUGUUUGGCAGCCAUUCCUUACAUGACCUCAUUUUGAGGCCUUUCACCACUAAGGUUGCUCUCCUCUGAAUAUGCCGUCAGUAUCUCAGUCACUCAAACUGUGAAGUCCUGCCUCUACCAAACUGCCCAGGACAAGGCUGAGCAGCUGGAGACUUUAGCAAUAAAAAACUGAGAAUUCCUGGGAUGACGCUUAUCUCUUCCCAACCUCAACAGAGGGAACCAAUGCUGUAGGAAAUCACUGAAAAAUCACAAUCACACACUGUCUCUACACCCCUGGCCAAUACAAGGAGGAAAAUCAUUCCCUCAAAAAAGGUAAAUGUUAUUGAAGAUAACAUACUCACAGAAAAGUACACAAUCAUCAGCAUCCAGCUUGAUGAAAAUUUGUUCACAAAAGUAUUUUGUAAACAUCAAACUGGAAAGAAGGUGAGAGUUCCUUAUUACUGAAAAAUCUCACUACAAUUGUUUGGUGUUUAAAGAGUCCUGGCAUCCAGCAACCCAAGAAGCCCAGUCACUUGGAUGCUUGCCACAUGUUAUAAUCUUUCAACCACAUAAUGCAAAUAUGAUGCAAAAAUCAACUCCAAAGUGAAAUCAAAGAUUCUGCAAAAGAAUGAUGGAACUACAAAAGAGAAUGAUUUGAAUAUCAAAGGAUUAAAGAGAUC